RNAcentral lists this transfer RNA (74 nucleotides) under bacterium. RNAcentral describes it as "tRNA-Gln". It matches the Rfam family "tRNA". From Rfam's summary of the family: Transfer RNA (tRNA) molecules are approximately 80 nucleotides in length. RNAcentral also lists the same sequence under 1 other name. The record is from RNAcentral.
UGCCGAGUGGUGUAACGGUAGCACACGGGUCUUUGGAGCCUAUGGUCGGGGUUCGAAUCCCUGCUCGGCAGCCA